Oncorhynchus keta (chum salmon) is the source of this 234-nucleotide long non-coding RNA. RefSeq lists it as uncharacterized. The transcript has 3 exons. NCBI's taxonomy places the organism in Eukaryota, Metazoa, Chordata, Actinopteri, Salmoniformes, Salmonidae. The record is from RefSeq and is a predicted model, not a curated record.
GAGAGCUGUGUGUAAGGUCUGUCUUCCUACCUGUCCAUGGAGAGCUGUGUGUAAGGUCUGUCUUCCUACCUGUCCAUGGAGAGCUGUGUGUAAGGUCUGUCUUCCUACCUGUCCAUGGAGAGCUGUGUGUAAGGUCUGUCUUCCUACCUGUCCAUAGAGAGCUGUGUGUAAGGUCUGUCUUCCUACCUGUCCAUAGAGAGCUGUGUGUAAGGUCUGUCUUCCUACCUGUCCAUA